AGGGUCACACCUGUUCCCGUGCGAUCACCGAAGUUAAAUAACGUUGACCCUGGUCAAUAUCUAGAUGGGUGACCUCUGGUGAAUACUAGCUGCUGUAAG
Non-coding RNA from Acanthosepion pharaonis, 99 nucleotides. Lineage: Eukaryota; Metazoa; Mollusca; Cephalopoda; Sepiida; Sepiidae. The record is from the annotation of a GenBank genome assembly.